GGGUGCGAUCAUACCGGCAUUAGUGCACUGGAUCCCAUCAGAACUCCGUAGUUAAGCGCGCUUGGGCCGUAGUAGUAUUGGGAUUGGUGACCUCCUGGGAAGUCUCGGUGUUGCACCCU
Molecule: ribosomal RNA, 119 nt
Organism: Cryptomeria japonica (Japanese cedar)
Lineage: Eukaryota; Viridiplantae; Streptophyta; Pinopsida; Cupressales; Cupressaceae
Source: RefSeq, a predicted model, not a curated record